This 616-nucleotide ribosomal RNA is filed under the name uncultured bacterium. RNAcentral's name for it is "bacterial SSU rRNA". It matches the Rfam family "Bacterial small subunit ribosomal RNA", at positions 169 to 803 of the family's 1533-position model. The record is from RNAcentral.
CCGCAUAAGACCACAGCACCGCAUGGUGCAGGGGUAAAAACUCCGGUGGUACAGGAUGGACCCGCGUCUGAUUAACUGGUUGGUGAGGUAACGGCUCACCAAGGCGACGAUCAGUAGCCGGCUUGAGAGAGUGAACGGCCACAUUGGGACUGAGACACGGCCCAAACUCCUACGGGAGGCAGCAGUGGGGAAUAUUGCACAAUGGGGGGAACCCUGAUGCAGCGACGCCGCGUGAGUGAAGAAGUAUUUCGGUAUGUAAAGCUCUAUCAGCAGGGAAGAAAAUGACGGUACCUGACUAAGAAGCCCCGGCUAACUACGUGCCAGCAGCCGCGGUAAUACGUAGGGGGCAAGCGUUAUCCGGAAUUACUGGGUGUAAAGGGUGCGUAGGUGGUAUGGCAAGUCAGAAGUGAAAACCCAGGGCUUAACUCUGGGACUGCUUUUGAAACUGUCAGACUGGAGUGCAGGAGAGGUAAGCGGAAUUCCUAGUGUAGCGGUGAAAUGCGUAGAUAUUAGGAGGAACAUCAGUGGCGAAGGCGGCUUACUGGACUGAAACUGACACUGAGGCACGAAAGCGUGGGGAGCAAACAGGAUUAGAUACCCUGGUAGUCCACGCCGU